UGACUGCUAAUACCGGAUGACGACGUAAGUCCAAAGAUUUAUCGCCGAGGGAUGAGCCCGCGUAGGAUUAGCUAGUUGGUGUGGUAAAGGCGCACCAAGGCGACGAUCCUUAGCUGGUCUGAGAGGAUGAUCAGCCACACUGGGACUGAGACACGGCCCAGACUCCUACGGGAGGCAGCAGUGGGGAAUAUUGGACAAUGGGCGAAAGCCUGAUCCAGCAAUGCCGCGUGAGUGAUGAAGGCCUUAGGGUUGUAAAGCUCUUUUACCCGGGAUGAUAAUGACAGUACCGGGAGAAUAAGCUCCGGCUAACUCCGUGCCAGCAGCCGCGGUAAUACGGAGGGAGCUAGCGUUGUUCGGAAUUACUGGGCGUAAAGCGCACGUAGGCGGCUUUGUAAGUUAGAGGUGAAAGCCUGGAGCUC
Molecule: ribosomal RNA, 419 nt
Filed under: Sphingomonas sp. TW_R2A_DR9
Lineage: Bacteria; Pseudomonadati; Pseudomonadota; Alphaproteobacteria; Sphingomonadales; Sphingomonadaceae
Description: bacterial SSU rRNA
Rfam family: Bacterial small subunit ribosomal RNA
Source: RNAcentral